AUGGUUUGGCUUCUCGACGAUGUCUACGACACGAAACACCGGGCCUACAUGAUGCGCGAGAAGGAGAUGAAGCUUGAACCUUUGAAGAUUCGGUAUCACGGGGUCUCUGAUCCUGCCAUGCCUUACGAUGAGCGGUACACACCGUACAUCAAGCAGGCAGGACUACUCCCGUGGAUUCAGUUGGUCAGCCGAUCCACGCCGAAUCUGAACGCUCCACUGGUGUCCGCUCUUGCUGAUUGGUGGAGGCCGGAGACGCAUAGUUUCCAUCUUCGGACUGGGGAGAUGACCGUGACGCUCGAGGAUGUCUCGUUGAUCACCGAUCUUGCUAUCGACGGGAUGCCUCUCUGUAUGAGCACCGAUUCUGAUGGGUGGCGCGAGCAGAUGAUUGCUCUUAUCGGUAUGGCUCCUACCGAGGCUGAGGCUGAUGUAGAGGAGGGAGAAGAGAAGAAGAAGAAGAAAAGGAAAGCAUCCGGAGCUGCUUUCACGUGGAUUCAAACUCACUUUGCGACGUGCCCUCCGGAUGCCACUGAUGACGUGAUCCAGACACAUGCUCGUGUCUACAUGUGGUAUGUUGUGUCGAGGACUUUGUUUCCUGACUCCACUGGCAAGAACGCUCCAUGGAUGUGGCUGAAGGCGUUGACCGUCUUCGAUAGCAAAUGGAGCUGGGGUUCAGCGACUCUUGCCUACUUGUACCGACAGCUGGACGAUGCGUGUUGCAGGAUCACAGAUAGUGCAGGCAUUGGUGGUAAUAUGCUUCUACUUUCUGUAUGGAGCUGGGAGCGUCUGCCUGUUGGACGCUCGAAGAGCGUCAGGUUUAAUCCUUGGUAUGAAGAUGAAGAUGACGAAUUACGGCGCCCCACUUGGGCUUACAAGUGGGAUGUGGUUUCCGAGAUGACGAACGAUGUCAAUCUCAUGUACCAGAAGUACGUUGCCGAGUUGGACACGAUUACGCCCGAGCAGGUGGAAUGGCAGCCAUAUGGCGCCGAUGACAGACUUGGGUACACCCCGGAGUUUACCAUCAACCCAAUGUGCUUGCGGGAUAGGGAUCUCUGGCGUAUGCGGUGCCCACUGAUAUGCAACUGGGCUAUUGAGUUUCAUUUGCCACAUCGCGUGUCUCGUCAGUUUGGUCUGUUCCAGCCUCACCCGUCGGAAUGGGUGGAUACGGACAAAGCACUUCAUAGGUUGGACAGGAGAAGGCAGCAGAAGAUAAAGGACUGGGACAAGCAUCAUGCUUCGUAUGUUACCCGCUUCCAGCUUUGUGUGGAGGAAGCUCGUAGCAGUGCACGCGCCAAGCUUCGUGAGCAUUGUCCACUUGCUUUUGAUAACUACAUACGAUGGCUUCUUGAAAAUACUCGAGUUGAGAUAUGCCCGCCGGCAUAUAAUGAGGAUAUUCUUGAAGAACCCGUAAACUUUGAGGAUCUAUCAAAGGGGAAGUACAACAGAGAUGUCAGGGUAGGGCACGGAGUCCCUGCUGUUCCGGUGAUUAACUAUGUGCGCACCGAGAUCAAGAAAGCAGCUGAUGAGAGCCAGUCUAUUCUGGAGGAAACACCGGUUGGAAAAGGCAAUGAUGAUGGUCCACUACGAGCAUUCCUCAAGCGUCAGGCCAGGAAGUUAAGGCGGUUAUCGAAUCUUCUCAGUUGCCGUGAUCCCGAAAUUGAUGAACCAUCUGCCUCUAGGUCUGGUACACCAUCAGACCCCUCAUCUCACCAUCAGAGGGACGAUGUGAGUUCCUCAUAUGCUUAUCAGGAUGAUGAGGGUGCGGUCACCCAAGAGGGCGAUGAGCUUGAUGAUGACAUGACUUUGGCGGACGCUCAACUUCGGUCCCCAUAUGAGUUCAAGCCUAGGCAGCCCAGACGCCGGUACACGCCCAACAACUUUGACAACAGAGGCAACCCAAAGGUGGUCGUAGGGACCUCGCGGAUGGCUAGCUUGGAUCAUGAGGCGGAGGCGGAGGCGGAGGAGGAAGUGCGGGAAGAGGAGGCUCGUCCAUCCAGGAAGAAGAAGAUUGCCUGCAGGCGUGGCACCAGGAACACGCGCGGAAGGCAUUAG
This 2049-nucleotide ribosomal RNA is filed under the name Triticum aestivum (bread wheat). RNAcentral's name for it is "partial small subunit ribosomal RNA". The record is from RNAcentral. Lineage: Eukaryota; Viridiplantae; Streptophyta; Magnoliopsida; Poales; Poaceae.